This 23-nucleotide microRNA is filed under the name Cordylochernes scorpioides. Lineage: Eukaryota; Metazoa; Arthropoda; Arachnida; Pseudoscorpiones; Chernetidae. The record is from RNAcentral.
GGUUGGAAUCAAGAGGCCUGAUG